UUAACAGUGACAAAGUCUCAUCAGGAAUAAAUUGGACAGAUGCUCCCAUCACAAAAUCACCACUACAGCUGACACCAAUUGACUUUCUUAUUGGUCAUGUCAACAAAGAGUCAAUGAUUACAUGAGUAAGAAUUAUUAUCCUUCCAGAAAGGCUUUAGGAUGGCUAAAGAGUGAUGAAUGCAGUGUGUCUAGACUAUGUCUCAACUGGGAACAGCUAGAAAAGAGAUUGCUAUAAAAAAAAUUGCAAAGGAGGAUGUCCACGUGAUACUCUCACUGGGGAGAGAGAGAGACAACACCAGGAGCCACAAAGAGCUAUAUCGCAGGAAACACGGCUUAUUUUGGGGAUUAGCCAAAGGUGACUUCAUGCAAAAUGCCCUUCACAGCAGAGAAAAUCUGUUACUUCUGGGAAGUCAAAGGUGAGUGCAUUAAACUUGGUUUUCAUUCCAUGAUUUUGAUUAAUAAUGUUUCUUAAAGUAUGCGAUGUUUCUGUCGGGCUGUUACUCCUGAUGGCAUUGCCCUGAAGUUUCUUAACUUAUUGCAACUUGUCGCACUGUUUUUUAAAGUUUAGCGUGUCUUUUUAACUUCAUGAAGAACUAGAGUCAAAACAACUAAGAAUAAUCAACCAAAAAAAAAAAAGUGUGAAGAUACUUUUUUACAGCAUGAAGUGGAAACUAAUAUAAGUUUUCCGAUGCUCUUCUGUAGUGGAAAUGCUGAGUCACAGCCUGAAACAGUGAUAGAGCACCUGGUGGGAAGGCAGGGCCAACCCAGGGGAGCUCAGGUGCAAGCAGUGCAGCUGAGUGACUGCACCUGGUGGAGCCAAGGUCAGCCCCUACCCAGACCUCAUUUAAGGGUUGGCUGUGGAGGUGAGGGUAUCUCACUGGAGAUCCCUGCCUACUAGAGGUCUUCCAAAGGUAAGCAGCUUUUCUUCUUUUGUUUCUGCAUUGUGUGCUGCAUUUGGGUUUGUCUUCAUUUGCUGUAGCCUAAGAUUUGUGCCACUCUGCUGCUAUUGCAGUACUUUCCAUCACAUUAUAGUAUUAUAACUUCCAUUAGUUUGAUUAGACAUUCCUCACGGCCAAAGAACAGAAAGGGUUGUUUUUUUUGAAGUUCUGAAUCCCUUUUCCUGUUUUACUUUGCUGUUUUUUUUUAUUCCUUGGGCUACAUAUGUGAUGUGUACUUCUUUUUCAUCCUCUUCUGUCUUUAUAGUCUUUU
Molecule: long non-coding RNA, 1209 nt
Filed under: Numida meleagris (helmeted guineafowl)
Lineage: Eukaryota; Metazoa; Chordata; Aves; Galliformes; Numididae
Description: lncRNA (ENSNMEG00000014934.1)
Source: RNAcentral